UAUGGCUGAGCUCGGAGACUGUUCCAGGCAGAGCAGGUGGUGUCUGCCCUCAUACCGUCCCACAGCCGAGGGGAGCAGCAGCGUGAGGUCAGGCCACCAAAACCUCAAGGCAGUGUGGGACUGACUGGUCUUCCUGUGCUGGGAGGCCUCUCACGGGAGAGGCCUACAGCUGAGAUCCUGGGCCUCUGCCACGUCGAGCAUCUCCAUCAUCUGCUUGACAUCAAGGCACUUUUGUGACUUAGAGAUCAACUCAGAGACAGCGAAUUACAAGCUAAGCAGGCAAUGCGCUUCUGGCAUAAAAUAAAUUCCAGUGGAUGGGAAAUGUGGAUCAAACCCCGUA
This is a long non-coding RNA of Chinchilla lanigera (long-tailed chinchilla), 340 nucleotides long. RefSeq lists it as uncharacterized. The record is from RefSeq and is a predicted model, not a curated record. Lineage: Eukaryota; Metazoa; Chordata; Mammalia; Rodentia; Chinchillidae. The transcript has 2 exons.